CAUGCAGGCGGUUCAUCAAGCAGGAUGUGAAAUCCCCGGGCUCAACCUGGGAACAGCAUACUAAACUGGUGGACUAGAGUAUUGCAGGGGGAGACGGAAUUCCAGGUGUAGCGGUGGGAUGCGUAGAUAUCUGGAAGAACACCAAAGGCGAAGGCAGUCUCCUGGGCAAAUACUGACGCUCAUAUGCGAAAGCUGGUAGCAAACA
Molecule: ribosomal RNA, 205 nt
Filed under: uncultured bacterium
Lineage: Bacteria
Description: partial 16S ribosomal RNA
Rfam family: Bacterial small subunit ribosomal RNA
Source: RNAcentral